GAUGAAGAACGCAGCGAAAUGCGAUAAGUAAUGUGAAUUGCAGAAUUCAGUGAAUCAUCGAAUCUUUGAACGCACAUUGCGCCCGCUAGUAUUCUGGCGGGCAUGCCUGUCCGAGCGUCAUUUCAACCCUCAAGCCCCCGGGCUUGGUGUUGGGGAUCGGCGAGCCUCCGCGCCCGCCGUCCCCUAAAUCUAGUGGCGGUCUCGCUGUAGCUUCCUCUGCGUAGUAGCACACCUCGCACUGGGAAACAGCGCGGCCACGCCGUUAAACCCCCAACUUCUGAACGUUUGACCACGGAUCAGGUAGGAAUACCCGCUGAACUUAAGCAUAUCAAUAAGCGGAGGA
This 343-nucleotide unclassified non-coding RNA is filed under the name soil metagenome. Its description in RNAcentral is "partial contains 5.8S ribosomal RNA, internal transcribed spacer 2, and large subunit ribosomal RNA". The stretch from base 1 to 120 matches the Rfam family "5.8S ribosomal RNA", at positions 35 to 154 of the family's 154-position model. The record is from RNAcentral.